Molecule: ribosomal RNA, 1518 nt
Filed under: uncultured bacterium
Lineage: Bacteria
Description: bacterial SSU rRNA
Rfam family: Bacterial small subunit ribosomal RNA
Source: RNAcentral
GAGUUUGAUCCUGGCUCAGGACGAACGCUGGCGGCGUGCCUAACACAUGCAAGUCGAACGGGCUCCAUCUUGUGGCAACACUUGAGAAGAGCUAGUGGCGAACGGGUGAGUAACACGUGAAGAACCUGCCCCGAAGACCGGGAUAAGCCGAGGAAACUUGGUCUAAUACCGGAUACCCCCAUCAGAUCGCAUGUUCAGGUGAGGAAAUGGAUUCCGCUUCGGGAGGGCUUCGCGGCCUAUCAGCUAGUUGGUGAGGUAACGGCUCACCAAGGCAUCGACGGGUAGCUGGUCUGAGAGGACGAUCAGCCACACUGGGACUGAGACACGGCCCAGACUCCUACGGGAGGCAGCAGUGGGGAAUCUUGCGCAAUGGGGGAAACCCUGACGCAGCAACGCCGCGUGCGGGACGAAGGCUUUCGGGUCGUAAACCGCUUUCAGGAGGGAAGAAAAUGACGGUACCUCCAGAAGAAGCCCCGGCCAACUACGUGCCAGCAGCCGCGGUAACACGUAGGGGGCGAGCGUUGUCCGGAUUUAUUGGGCGUAAAGAGCUCGUAGGCGGCUUGGUAAGUCGGGUGUGAAACCUCCAGGCUCAACCUGGAGACGCCACUCGAGACUGCCAUGGCUAGAGUCCGGUAGGGGAGCGUGGAAUUCCUGGUGUAGCGGUGAAAUGCGCAGAUAUCAGGAGGAACUGCAUACGAGACGCCGGUAGUGUGCAACGUAUACGACGCUGAGGAGCGAAAUAUCUAAGAGCGAUCAGGAUUAGAUCUUUCGGUAGUCCGCGUCAUAAACGUUGCACAGUAGGUCUGGGUCGUACUCAGCUCGAUCCGAUAUGUAGGCAACGCAUUAAUACACCAGGAAGGGGAGUACGGCCGCAAGGCUAAUACUCAAAGCAAUCGAGAGGGGCGUGCACAAGCUGCGGAGCAUGUUUUCACAUUCGAGGCAACAAGAAGAACCGAGCUGGGUUUGACCAAUAGGGAAAAGCCACAGAGAUGUGGUGUCCUUUUGGGUGGUACACAGCAGGUACAUGGCCGUGGUCAGUUCGGUGGUGAGAUCAUGGGUUAAGUUCCGCAACGAGCGCAAGCCUUGAAAUAUUUCGUCAGCCAGUAAUGGCGGGGACUUCUAGGAGUCUGCCGGGGUCCAAUCGGAGGAAGGUGGGGAUGAGGUCAAGUUAUCAUGCGCGUUUCAUUCACAGUGGCAAACAUGGUCCAAUCAGCGAUACAGAGGGUUGAUAAGCCGCGGGGCCGAUCGAUUCCCACAAAGUCGAUAUCACUUGGGAUCCGAGUGAACAACUAUCCAUCUCGAAGCCGGAGCCGGUGGUAAGACGGGAUCAUCAGCUCCGGGGUGAAUACGUUUCCGGUUAUUUGUACUCUUCGGGGCACACACCACGAAAGUCGUCAACCGUUGAACUCAAUGUCCCAACCAUUGUGGGAGCGAGAUGGAGAAGGUGGGGUUGGCAUGUGGGGGGAAGUCGUAACAAGGUAGCCGUUCCGGAAGGUGCGGCUGGAUCACCUCCUUUCU